UGCGUAGGCGGAUAAAUAAGUCAGUGGUGAAAUCUUUCGGCUCAACCGGGAAACUGCCAUUGAUACUGUUUAUCUUGAGUUCGGUAGAGGUAGGCGGAAUGUGUAAUGUAGCGGUGAAAUGCUUAGAUAUUACACAGAACACCAAUUGCGUAGGCAGCUUACUAGACCGACACUGACGCUGAGGCACGAAAGCGUGGGGAGCGAACAGGAUUAGAUACCCUGGUAGUCC
This 229-nucleotide ribosomal RNA is filed under the name uncultured bacterium. RNAcentral's name for it is "partial 16S ribosomal RNA". It matches the Rfam family "Bacterial small subunit ribosomal RNA", at positions 568 to 796 of the family's 1533-position model. The record is from RNAcentral.